AGUAGUUACAGUUAUAUACAUCUUGAUCUGUUUGAUGUAGUAGAAACCGCAGUAGUUAUAGAUAAUUUGUUUAGUAGAAUGCAGUUGGGAUUAGAGAGUUAAGCUUACCUUCUGUUUAAAGCUGCUCUGUUCAAUUGCUUGCUGUAGUUGAGACUGCGUCCAAUUUAGGCAUAGUUCCAGCGGUUGGAGUCGAGCCUUUUUCUACAGUUCCACAUACAUCAAUUGAGCUCAACUGAAUCAAACCAAACAUCGUAUAUAGAUUUGUAUACAAUUAUACUACAGUGCAGUUACGACAACAUGAAAUCAAGCAGCCCUUGCUGAUAACU
RNAcentral lists this long non-coding RNA (326 nucleotides) under Ananas comosus (pineapple). RNAcentral describes it as "long non-coding RNA (ACOM_LNC009438)". The record is from RNAcentral. Lineage: Eukaryota; Viridiplantae; Streptophyta; Magnoliopsida; Poales; Bromeliaceae.